RNAcentral lists this ribosomal RNA (315 nucleotides) under uncultured bacterium. RNAcentral describes it as "bacterial SSU rRNA". It matches the Rfam family "Bacterial small subunit ribosomal RNA", at positions 28 to 334 of the family's 1533-position model. The record is from RNAcentral.
GAUGAACGCUAGCGGCAGGCUUAACACAUGCAAGUCGAGGGGCAGCAUGAUCAAACUUUCGGGUUUGGUUGAUGGCGACCGGCGCAAGGGUGCGUAACGCGUGAGCAACUUGCCCUUAUCAGGGGAAUAACCGUUGGAAACGACGACUAAUACCCCAUAGCAUCACUUCAAGGCAUCUUUUAGUGAUUAAAGAAUUUCGGAUAAGGAUAGGCUCGCGUGACAUUAGCUAGAUGGCGGGGUAACGGCCCACCAUGGCGACGAUGUCUAGGGGUUCUGAGAGGAAGGUCCCCACACUGGAACUGAGACACGGUCCAG